GGAUAUGGCCUAGCUGGUUAAGGCGCCAGAUUGUGGCUCUGGAGAUCGUGGGUUCGAAUCCCAUUAUC
Molecule: transfer RNA, 68 nt
Filed under: human gut metagenome
Rfam family: tRNA
About the family: Transfer RNA (tRNA) molecules are approximately 80 nucleotides in length. Their secondary structure includes four short double-helical elements and three loops (D, anti-codon, and T loops).
Source: RNAcentral